Molecule: ribosomal RNA, 372 nt
Filed under: uncultured Porphyromonadaceae bacterium
Lineage: Bacteria; Pseudomonadati; Bacteroidota; Bacteroidia; Bacteroidales; Porphyromonadaceae
Description: bacterial SSU rRNA
Rfam family: Bacterial small subunit ribosomal RNA
Source: RNAcentral
UCGGGAAUAUUGCGCAAUGGAGGAAACUCUGACGCAGUGACGCCGCGUGCAGGAAGAAGGUUUUCGGACUGUAAACCUCUUUUGUCGGGGAGUAAUAGGCGGGACGUGUCCUGCUGUGAGAGUACCCGAAGAAAAAGCAUCGGCUAACUCCGUGCCAGCAGCCGCGGUAAUACGGAGGAUGCGAGCGUUUAUCCGGAUUUAUUGGGUUUAAAGGGUGCGCAGGCGGCGUGCCAAGUCAGCGGUCAAAGUUCCGGGCUCAACCCGGUGAUGCCGUUGAAACUGGUGUGCUUGAGUGCGUGCGAGGGAGGCGGAAUGCGUUGUGUAGCGGUGAAAUGCAUAGAUAUGACGCAGAACUCCGAUUGCGAAGGCAGC